Salvia splendens (bonfire salvia) is the source of this 3684-nucleotide RNA transcript. It is a transcript of the gene named probable LRR receptor-like serine/threonine-protein kinase At3g47570, with no coding region annotated. The transcript has 6 exons. NCBI's taxonomy places the organism in Eukaryota, Viridiplantae, Streptophyta, Magnoliopsida, Lamiales, Lamiaceae. The record is from RefSeq and is a predicted model, not a curated record.
AACAGCAAAUUAAUGGAGAGUCUUACUUUUUCCAUUGUUCUUUUAAUCUUGCUAUUGAAUAGCUUUGCCUUCUCCUUGAAUUUUGACACAGAUAAAAAUGCACUUAUUUCCUUCAAAAAUUCCAUCACUUCCGACACUAAUGCUAUCUUGAGCAUCAAUUGGUCGCAAAACACAUCAGUCUGUAAUUGGAUUGGUGUGUCGUGCGGCCUCAAACACGGCCGUGUCACUGCUCUCAAUCUCCCUCGAUAUGACCUUGCUGGAACUGUUGCUCCCCAUCUUGGAAACCUUUCGUUUCUAAGAUAUUUGGACAUCAGUUCCAACAGUUUUGUUGGGAUGUUAUCCUUUGAGCUCUCUAAACUGCGUCGUUUGAAGGUGAUGAAUUUGGGAGCAAAUUCAUUCACCGGAGAAAUACCAACAUGGUUGGGCAGUUUACCUCAACUGGAGGAACUCUAUCUGUACAAUAACUCUUUCUUAGGUAAAAUUCCUUCGUCUUUGUUUAACAAUUCCAAGCUCCAGAUGUUACAGAUAUUACACUUGUACAGUAAUAAACUGAGUGGAUCCAUACCACAUGUUAUCUUCAAUGUGUCUUCCCUAAGAGAAAUCAGAAUUGGAAUUAAUAGCCUAUCAGGUCGGCUCCCAAUUGAUAUGUGCAACAAUAUGCCCAACAUCAAAUUCUUGGCACUCUCUUGGAAUCAACUUGAAGGGCAGAUUCCGUCAAAUAUAUGGAAAUGCACACAUCUUGAUGUCUUGUCAUUAUCCUUCAACAAUUUUAGUGGAAGCAUUCCACGUGAAACUGGAAGAUUGAGCAUGCUUACAAAGUUGCACUUGGGGUACAAUAGUGGUUUUCAAGGAGGAGUUCCACCGGAAAUCGGGAAUCUUUCAAGACUGGAGAUUUUAGGGAUUGGCAACGCUUCUCUAACUGGAAUUAUUCCAUCUUCAAUCUUCAACAUGUCAUACCUUGAGAAGUUAUAUCUUGGUGAUAACAAGUUGACAGGACUUAUUCCUCCGAAUAUCUGGAAGUGCAAAAAUCUUGAGAUCUUGAACUUGGGUUGGAACCAUUUCACAGGUACUCUUCCAUCAGAUUUGGGGAACUCACUAAUCAAUCUUGAAAAGCUUCAUUUGAGUUUUAACAGACUCAGUGGCUCAAUUCCAAGCACUAUCGCCAAUGCUUCUAAACUUACAAUCUUGGAGAUGGAUGGCAACUCAUUUAGUGGCUCUAUACCCCACUUCAGUAAUUUGAAGCUCCUACAAUCACUUCUUCUUUCGGAAAACAAUUUGAGUGGAGCAAAAUUCACAACUCAGGAAUUAACAUUUCUCUCUUCAUUAACUAAUUGUCGACAUUUGAAGUACCUGGUAGUAAGUGACAAUCCACUGAAUGGCAUCCUACCCGCUUCAAUAGGAAAUUUUCCUUCAUCUCUUGAGAUGUUUGAAGUAGAAAACUGCGGCAUCACGAGUGUCAUUCCUUCUGAAAUAGGAAACUUAAGCAGUUUGUUAUAUCUAGAUUUGGCUAGAAAUCAGCUGAGUGGACUCAUUCCGCCAACAAUUGGGAAAAUGAAGCAACUCCAAAGACUAUAUCUUGAUGGCAAUCAAUUGGUAGGGUCUAUCCCUAACCAACUUUGCCAAAUGAAUCAUUUGGGGGAGUUUGACCUAAGCAUGAACAUGCUUGUGGGUCCCAUACCUGAAUGCAUAGGUGAUGUUAAAUCCUUGAGAAUGAUCAACUUAGGCUCCAACCAAUUGAAUUCAACCAUCCCUCCUAACUUGUGGGUUCUCACAGACCUUCUAAAUUUGAGCUUGUCCUCCAAUCAUUUGAGCGGUCAAUUGUCAUCUCAACUGGGAAAUUUAAAGUCGAUCGCCUCAUUAGAUUUGUCGUCUAAUCAAUUUUCAGGCAAUAUUCCCACCUUGAUAGAUGGUUGCCAAUCAUUAGAGUUUCUUAACAUAUCAAAUAAUUUUCUUAGCGGAUCCAUUCCUCAAUCCUUGGGAAAUCUUAAAGGUUUGAAAACAUUAGAUUUAUCUUACAAUAAUCUUUCUGGAACAAUACCCAAGUCCUUAGAAGACCUCCUCUUUCUUGAAAAUUUGAAUGUUUCCAACAACAAACUGGAAGGGAGAAUUCCAGAUGGUGGUUGUUUUCGUAACUUUAGUGCACCGUCUUUUGCCAACAACUUAGCUUUGUGUGGUCCAAUAACAUUUCAAGUUCCAGCCUGCCCAGAAAGCCAUCAUAAAUCAUGGUUGAAAAAACUCAUGGUGUCAUUAGUGAUUUUAGCUGUCAUUGUGGCGAUUGCAUUGCUUACUUUCAUAAGGAUGUAUAAACAGAAAAAAGUAGGCCUCUCGGUUCAUUUUUCAGCACAAAUUACUGAAUGCAUAGGAAUUCCUUACAAUGAACUUGAACGAGGAACGAGUUCAUUUAGUGAAACCAACCUACUUGGAAGAGGUAGCUUUGGUUCUGUAUUCGAAGCAACACUUUCUGAUGGGUUGAAAGUUGCGGUAAAAGUGUUCAACUUGGAAGUACAAGGAGCAGCAAGGAGCUUUGGUGUUGAAAGUUCAAUAUUGAGCAGCAUUCGACACAGAAAUUUGGUUCGGGUUAUUGGAUAUUGUUGUAAUAUGAACUUUAAAGCAUUGAUUCUCACAUACAUGCCAAAUGGGAGCUUGGACAAAUGGUUGCAUUCCAGCAAUUAUAGUCUGGAUCUUAUACAGAGGUUGAAAAUAGCAAUAGACGUUGCGGCCGCCUUGGAAUAUCUUCAUCAUGGUCAUACAUUCCCAAUUGUUCACUGUGAUAUAAAGCCAAGCAAUGUGUUGCUUGAUCAAGACAUGGUUGCCCAUCUUGCUGAUUUUGGCAUUUCCAAGCUUUUCGAUGGAGGGGAAACUAUCAUUCAAACACAAACACUGGCAACUAUCGGUUAUGCAGCACCAGAGUUUGGAAUGGAAGGGAAAGUAUCAAUAAAUGGAGAUGUAUAUAGUUUUGGGAUACUUGUGCUGGAGAUGUUUACCGGAAAGAGGCCAACGGAUGAUAUGUUCGAUGAAGAAAGAAGCUUAAAACAGUGGGUAAGUGAAGCAUUAGAGGAAAAUACCGCAACUCAAGUGAUGGCACCUGCUUUGUUGUCAAUGGAAGAUGAGCAUUACUCUGCCAAGGAGAAAUGCAUGUUAUCAACAUUUGAAUUGGCAAUGAAAUGUUUAGCUGUUUCAGCAGACGAAAGGAUCAAUAUGAUUGAAGCAGCGGCUGCUCUGCACAAGAUUUAUGCAACAUUUGUAGCAGGAACUCAAUGGCGCCGUCCAUGAGAUUUUCCCGCCAAAUCUCCACCACAUUCGGUGUCAUUUUGUAGCCGCCAUCAGCCCAUGCCUCCACCCGGUGAUUCGUCUACCUCUAGGCGCUAGCUACAUGCCACGCUGAGAGGAUUAAAAGCAGAUUCAGAAUUCUACUAUGGAGAGGAGCAGAAAAGAAGAUUUGGGCUUAAGGAUUUCAACUGUGUUCCACUGAUAAUGACCAAAUUAUGAUUUAAUUGUUGUAAUUAAAUCAGGCCCAGAGACGUGUAGAAUUAAUUAAUUCUUGACUUUUAUUUGCUUAUGGCCCAAAGCCAAAUUGUUAUCCAAACUUGGACUUUUGAAUUUUAUUACUUGGGAAGGCCAAAGUGUAAUGACUCACAUUAUAUGCUUUUUAUUAAUUAAUGUCCAAAGGAAGAUAUUAAUCAA